AUGUGGUUUAAUUCGAUGAUACGCGAGGAACCCUACCUGGGCUUAAAUGUAGAGUGCAUUUUUAGAGAUAGAAAUUCCCUUCGGGGCUUUCUGCAAGGUGCUGCAUGGUUGUCGUCAGCUCGUGCCGUGAGGUGUCGGGUUAAGUCCCAUAACGAGCGCAACCCUUAUCGUUAGUUGCCAUCUGGUAAUGCAGGGGACUCUAGCGAAACUGCCACCGUAAGGUGAGAGGAAGGUGGGAUGAUGUCAAAUCAGCACGGCCCUUAUGUCCAGGGCUACACACGUGUUACAAUGGUCGGUACAGAGGGCAGCUACCUGGUGACAGGAUGCUAAUCUCGAAAACCGGUCUCAGUUCGGAUCGAAGUCUGCAACUCGACUUCGUGAAGCUGGAAUCUGUAGUAAUCGUGUCUCAAAAUGGCACGGUGAAUAUGUCCCUGCUCCUU
RNAcentral lists this ribosomal RNA (440 nucleotides) under uncultured Sphingobacteriales bacterium. RNAcentral's name for it is "bacterial SSU rRNA". It matches the Rfam family "Bacterial small subunit ribosomal RNA", at positions 939 to 1382 of the family's 1533-position model. Lineage: Bacteria; Pseudomonadati; Bacteroidota; Sphingobacteriia; Sphingobacteriales. The record is from RNAcentral.